Molecule: small RNA, 268 nt
Filed under: Erinaceus europaeus (western European hedgehog)
Lineage: Eukaryota; Metazoa; Chordata; Mammalia; Eulipotyphla; Erinaceidae
Description: 7SK RNA (ENSEEUG00000020268.1)
Rfam family: 7SK RNA (bases 1-181)
About the family: 7SK was discovered as an abundant small nuclear RNA in the mid-70s but a possible function has only recently been suggested. Two independent studies have found that 7SK RNA binds the CDK9/cyclin T complex (known as elongation factor P-TEFb).
Source: RNAcentral
GGAUGUGAGGGCGAUCUGGCUGCAACAUCUGUCACCCCAUUGAUCUCCAGGGUUGAUCUGACUGGCUAUGCGGGUGUCCCCUUCCUCCCUUACAGCACCAUGUGCUGCAUCCUUCCCGAAGCUGCAUGCUCGGUCGAAGAGGAUGGCCUUCCCUGAAUAGAAUCAAACAAACUGAGGCCAGCACAAUAGCUCCCCUGGAUAGUGCACCUGCUUUAUCAUGCACACGACCCAGGUUCAAGCCUGAGCCUCACUGGAAGUGUUGGUGUUU